RNAcentral lists this long non-coding RNA (39190 nucleotides) under Olea europaea (common olive). RNAcentral describes it as "long non-coding RNA (OEUR_LNC009604)". Lineage: Eukaryota; Viridiplantae; Streptophyta; Magnoliopsida; Lamiales; Oleaceae. The record is from RNAcentral.
ACUUCCCACCUCCGUAUGAACAGGAGUCAAGACAUAGGAAGGCAGGCAGUGUAUUUGACAGAAUUAGCCCCGCUAAACCGAGGCUUAGGCAACAAUAGACUCACCAGCCUAAGGCCACCACCUUCACCUCCAAUGCCCCAGCAGCCGGAAGAAAGGAAUGAAAAUAGGCUCCAGAGGAGGGAGAAAGAGGUUAGGAACCGUCCCGGAACCUCCCACCAACAACCACGGCAAGAGGCCGAUGAAUACGAUUCAGAUGAACAGUAGAGGUCGUAUGACUUGGACAAUGACGAUGAGAAUUUGCCGUUCUCAAGGGAACUAAGGAGUGCACAGGUUCCAAGCCACUAUGUAAUGCCAAAGAUACCAAAGUAUGACGGAAAGGGCGCCCCAGAGAAGCACCUGAAUGCUUAUAAAACUCACAUGAGCCUAAGCGGCGCCACCCAGUUGUGAAGUGUAAAGCUUUCCAUUUAACACUUAGUGGAGUGGCCAAAAUUUGGUAUGGUAGGUUACCGCCUGGGAGCAUAAGAAGCUGGCCCGAGUUCAAGACAACAUUCUUGAAGAGGUUCGCGGUAAGCAAAGAAGGAGAGGCCCCCAUCCAACGACUCCAAGAUAUGAGACAAGCACAUGGGGAGUCCCUAAAGAGUUUCUUAUCACACUUCACCGAUGAGAUGACAUAUUGCGUGCAAGUCACCGAUCGUAAGGUGCUAUCCGCAUUAAGGGGAGGUCUAAACAUGAAUACCCUAUUCUGGAGGGACGUGCAAAACCAAGAUCCCACCACCUAUGAUGCCCUACUUGAGAUGAUGAGGCGAGAAAUCAUCAAUGAAGAAUUGAUUGAGCAUAGGAACAUGGCAAGUAGGGACCUCCCACCUCUUCAAAGGCAGCGCGUUAGAGGGCCGACCUCCCACUUGAUGGACUACCAAAUGAACCAGACUGGAAAUGAGAGUUCUGGCCAAGCACUUGCCACCACCACUUUGAAUGUAGUUCCUACCUUGGCAUAUGAGGAUAUCAACCCAAUUACUAACAUCUAGCAGAUAGAAACCCCACAAGAAUCCCGUAGGGGGAGAGGUCGAGGCCGAGGUUUGGGACCUAGAAAUAGGUCAAAUCAGAACCCACCGGGAUAUUAUGUACACCACCGGUCCUAUGGACACGACAUAGCGGAUUGCCGAGACUAUGCGCACCGCUCCCGGCAGGAACCCCCUAGGGACAGAAAUGAAUCGCUCCAGGCGAACAGGCCCCCAUCCAGGCACGACAACCAACGUGGCCGUGAGGAGGCCGCUUCUCGUCAAAGGGAUGUUUCCCCACGACGAAUGGAGCAUGAUACGGAGAGGCCUAGGGAAGGGUGCAGGCACCGAAGAAAUCGACAAGCUCAGGAUGAGGCCCCUAUCCACGAGGUGGAUACCAUAUUUGGAGGACCAUAUGUUGGCGGUGAAAUAUGAAACGCCAAAAGGAAUUACGCCCCGGAGGCUAAACACCCCCCCUUUGGCAAGCUACAUUGUGGAUAGCAGCUCUCGGAAGAACCAAGUUCCACCCAUUGUCUUCACCCAGGAGGAUGCCGAAGGAGUUCACUACCCCCACUGCGAUGCACUUGUUGUGAGAGCUGUCAUAGCCCGAAAUGGGCUCAAGCGAAUGUUAGUUGACAACGGUAACUCUGUCAACAUUCUAUUCGAAUUCGUCUUUGACAAGAUGAUAUUGGAUCAUAAGUUGACACCUACCACAACUCCUCUGUACGGAUUCACCGGAGAUAGCAUCACUCCAAGGGGAAAGAUAACACUUGCAGUGGAGAUGGGAGAGUCUCUCCAAUCUACGAUGAACUUCAUGGAGUUCAUCAUUGUCGAAAGUCGAUCAACCUACCAUGGAGUAUUAGGUAGGCCAGCCCUAAAAGAAUUAGGAGCAGUCACCUCCAUCCACCACCUAUGCAUGAAAUUCUUGACGAAAAGUGGGGUGGUAAUGGUGAGAGGUGACCAAAGAGGACCGAGAGAGUGUUAUCUAAGCUCCAUAAAAAAUGUAGAGCCCCAGGACGUCCAUAUAGUCAUAGCCGAUAUAGUCAUGGCUGACGUCCCAGGUGAUGCUCCCACUGAACCAGAAGAUAUCAAUAUGAUUGAUGCACCACCCAAUCCGGAGGUAUUGGUCAUCGAUGAGAUCAAUCCCCGCAUAAUUGAACACGAGCCUCAAGCAUCCCCAGUUGAAGAACUUGAGAGCUUCUUGGUCGACCCCCGAGACCCAUCCAAGAUGCUAAAAGUAGGCAAGGGCUUAUCCAACAUUUUGAAGGAAAAGAUUAAAGAUUUCCUAAGUAAGAAUCUUGAUGUCUUUGCUUGGAAGCAUGAGGAAUUGGUGGGCAUAGACCUCAAGGUCAGUUGCCACCACCUGAAAGUCGAUCCUAAGGUUGCCUCGCACAGACAAAAAAGGAGAGCCCUCAAUCCUUAAAGGUACGAGGCUCUGAAGGAAGAGGUUCAGAAGCUUAUUCAAAACGACUUUAUCAGGGAGGCUACAUAACUGAGGUGGGUCUCCAACCCGAUUUUAGUGAAAAAAACACAACAGCAAGUGGAGGGUGUGCAUCGACUUCACCAACCUCAACAGAGCUUGCUCGAAAGACAACUUUCCUCUCCCAAGGAUUGACCAACUAGUAGACUCCACGGUUGGGCACGAGUUGUUGAGCUUUAUGGAUGCAUACUCCGGCUACAACCAAAUACCCAUGCAACCGGCCGAUGAGGAGCACACCUCUUUCAUUAUAGACCGAGGCCUUUAUUGUUAUAGGAUAAUACCCUUCGGGUUGAAAAACGCCGGAGUGACUUACCAAAGACUUGUCAACAAAAUGUUUAUGGACCUCACCGGCAAGACAAUGGAGGUAUACGUGGACGAUAUGUUGGUAAAAAGUUUGGGGGCUGAGGAUCACAUAACGCAACUCAACAGUACCUUCCAAAUCUUGAGAAGAUAUAGGAUGAGUCUCAACCCCCUCAAGUGCGUCUUUGGAGUGGCCUCCAGAAAAUUCUUAGGAUAUAUGGUCAAUCAACGUGGAAUUGAAGCCAACCCUAAGAAGAUUGAGGUCCUAUACAAGAUGAGGUCCCCCAAAAGUCAAAGAAGGUGCAAAGUUUUAUUGGGCGAGUGGCCGCACUUAGCCGCUUCAUUUCCAAGGCUACAGACAAAUGCCUCCCAUUUUUUAAAGUGCUGAAAGCUGGGAAGAAGUUCCAAUGGAACGAGGAAUGUGAAGAGGUCUUCCAAGGCUUGAAAAGGCACCUGGGGAGGCCCCCCUCUUCUCCAAACCGAAGCUCGGUGAGAUCCUACAGCUAUAUCUGGCCAUCUCCAAUGAGGCCAUCAAUUCGGUUCUAACCCGAGAAGAAGGGACCACCCAACUUCCCGUUUACUAUACAAGUAAAGCACUCCUAUCGCCGGAAACAUGUUACCCCGAUAUGGAGAAGCUCGCUUUGGCCUUGAUCACGGCCUACAGAAAAUUGUGACCCUAUUUCCAAGCUCACACUAUCCACGUACUAACAAACUUUCCCCUAAGGCAAGUGCUCCAAAAGCUCGAUGCCUCAGGAAGAUUAUUGAAGUGGGCAGUAGAGCUAAGUGAAUUUGACCUCAUGUUCAAGGCUAGGACAGUUAUCAAGGGUCAAGCCUUAGUUGACUUUGUGGUAAAAUUAGCCAAUUUACCCGAGGUAGGUGAAAUCAUGGAACCCGUCGAGCCCCCUACGUGGAACUUAUUCGUUGACGGGUCGACCGAAGACGUCGGCUCAAGUGCUGGAAUUGUCCUCAUUAGCCCUGAAGGUCACAAGCUAAACUCAGCAGUGAGGUUCGAGUUCAAAGUCAUCAACAAUGUAGCAGAAUAUGAGGCACUUCUUGCAGGCCUCAGGCUGGCCAAGGAAAUGCAAGUAAAGAGGCUACUCAUCAGCAGUGACUCCCAGCUGGUUGUUAGCCAAGUAAAUGGUAACUUCUUAGCCAAGGACAAAACGAUGGCUUCCUACUUGAAAAUAGUGAUGAACCUCAUCCCAUCCUUUGAAAAGUUUUAACAAACCCAGAUCCCUCACAUCGAAAAUUCUCAUGCGGAUGCACUCUCCAAGCUCGCUAGUAGCAAGGAUUCAGAACUACUCACAAUAGUACCUAUAGAGCACCUCCUCCUGCCGUCAACCGAGGCCCCUAAUGUAAUGUGAGUCGCUGGAACUCCUACCUAGAUGCAGCCAACCGUAGCAUACCUCAAAGAUCAGGUACUUCCCACUAACAAGCAUGAGGCCUACAAGCUAAGGAGGAGGUCAGCCCACUUCCUCUUCGUUGAUGAUGUUCUCUAUAAGAAAAGCCUCUCCUCCCCACUCUUACAAUGCGUUGGAGGAGAAGAGGCUACUUACAUAUUAAGAGAAGUCCAUGAGGGCGUGUGCGGCAAUCACUCCGGAGGUCUAUCUUUGGCACAAAAGAUAUUGAGGCAGGGGUACUACUAGUCUACCCUGAAAAGGAAUGCCCUCGAGUUUGUAUGAAAGUGUGAUAAAUGCCAACGGUUUUCUUCGAUACAAAGACAACCGUCGCAGGAUUUGACCGCAGUAUCCAGCCUUUGGCCUUUCUCGAAAUGGGGUGAGGACCUCAUAGGUCCUCUACCUAAAGGUAGAGGAGGUGCUAGUUUUGCAAUUGUGGCCAUUGAUUGCUUUACAAAAUGGGCUGAGGCUAAACCACUGGCAAAAAUCACAGAUGCCAACACUUCCAAGUUCUUAUGGAAGAAUAUUAUAUGUCGGUUCGGGAUUUCCUACUCAAUCGUCUCAGACAAUGGUAGACAAUUUAACAACAAGAAGGUCAGGGCACUAUGCGAAGAACUCGGCAUCAAGAAGCAUUUCUCCACGCUUCACCACCCACAAGCAAAUGGCUAAGUUGAGGCUGUGAACAAAACAAUCAAACAUGUCCUAAAAAGGAAGCUUGAUGUGUCAAAAGGGGCUUGGGUGGAUGAGUUGCCACAAGCACUUUGGCCGAUCCGAACCACCACGAGCCCCGUUGAGGUCGGGCUUCCGUCUCCAAGACGUCUGCAUUUUAGUGAGAUGACAAACGAUGAGCUUUGGAGGUGCGACCUCGACUUCAUUGAAGAAAGAAGAGACGACUCCCAAUUGAAGCUCGGCACAUAUCAAAGGAAGAUGACGAAGUACUUCAACACAAAAGUAAAGAAGAGAUCAUUCCGAAUUAACGACUUGGUCCUUAGGAGAGUUUUCAUCUCCUCAAAGGAACCUGGUUCCGAUUCCCUGCGUCCGAACUGGGAAGGCCCAUAUAAAAUUAGAGAAAAGAUCCAGCCUGGGACUUGCUGGAUUGAAGACAUGAACGACAAGGCACAACCCCGUCCAUGGAAUAUUAAACACCUCAGAAUCUAUUACCAAUGAAUGUACUACCUCGCUGGAAUCUUUCCCAGCUUUUGUAACAUUUCUAUGGUUCAAUAAAAUCCUAUGAUUAAAUUAACGUGUUGAAUUACUUCGUCACCUCGGAGGAGAGGCCAGGGUCCCAUCUCUGGGCCACAUCGCUUGAACUCUGAGACGCGUGCACAUGCCCCCUUUGGCGAGGCUGAACGCCAAGGGGAGAAGUCUCAACAUGGCUGCACCAUCCACCAUGUUGGGAAGCGUCAUCACCUCAGAGGAGAGGUCAGGGUCCCAUCACUGGGCCUCCUCACUUGAACUCCGAGGCGCAUGCACAUGCCCCCCUUUGGCGAGGCUGAACGCCAAGGGGAGAAGCCUCAACAUGGCUGCACCAUCCACCAUGUUGGAAAGCGUCGUCACCUCGGAGGAGAGGCCAGCGUCCCAUCUCUGGGCCACCUCACCUGAACUCCGAGGCUCAUACACUUAAAUCAGAGUAAUAUUCCCAGUUCGGCUGCAAUAAUUUAUUCUUAAGAUCUCUUUAGGUUACAGUUAUUAAACUUAAGAACAAUUCGUUUGCUUAAGUCCAAUAUUGGUCAUACUCGUGAGGCCUGCAUACAAUUUAUUUGUUCAAGUGAUUGGAGUCAGGAUACCCAGUUAAAGUUAUUUAGUCCUUCAAUUAACAUUGCGUUCAAUUACUUAAUAAGGCCAACACACUUAAGAGAAAGAAGCAACAUUGAAUGAAAAAGAUAUUAUAUUGAUUUUCAACUUAUAUUACAAAAGGGGGGCUUGAGGCCAGUACAUCAUGGCUAACUGAAAAGAAAACCAUCCUAAAUCUGGGAAGAUGAUGGAGAUGCCUCAGCAGUUGGGACUUCCGCAGCUUGAGCAUCAGAAUUUGCUUCUUCUACCUCUGCUACUUCAUCUCCCACCACUUCAUCAGCUAGGGUUUGAUGCACUUCGUCCACAAACUCCAACCUGAGUUGCGACAGAUCAUGAUUGGGAUACAACUCCUCAGCCUGCUCCAUCACUUCGGCAUAAGCAAAGUUUCUCCAAUAAGUGCUGAAACUCUGGUAGUCUGCGGUAUUGUGGAAGUUGGCGAUGUAGUCUUCCACUGCCUCUUCCCUUGCAUUUUGGGCUUCCUCCCUAGCAUGGGUUGCGUCAUCGACAUACCUCUUAAUUUGGCCCUCGAUAUACUUGUAUGCAUCUUAGGCCCCUGCCAACUCCCUGUUAGCCUUCUCCAAGGCUUCGGCUAUCACCUUCUGGCGGUCAUUGAAAACCUCCACCUUUUUAGUCAAGGAGGCAACCUCGCACUGGGACUCAUGUACCUCCCUCUUCAAUGCUUCUAUCUGAGCCAAGGUAGACUCCAGCUUGAUCGAUUCUUCAACUUUUUGGGCCCUAGCUUCUUCAGCCUCGGCCCUAGCUACCUUCAGCUCCUCUGCAAGGGAGGCAUCCUUCCUCUCAGAGGACUGGGUCCUCGUCUGAAAGUCAGUGAGGGCCUCCCUGCACUCCAGUGCGAGGCCAAAAGUCCUAACACUUUGGCUUACAAGAGCCCUUGUCAAGUCCGUGGCAUUAUAGGCGGAGGCGUGCAGCUGCCACCGAUCCGUCCAGAAUUUAUAAAAACUUUCAGUAGCGCUUCGAAUCUCAGGUGGCAGGGCCUCCACCAAAGUUGGGGCCAAAGGCUCCUCCCUACCGGGAAGGAAGUUCGGAGACUUUCCUUGUACUCGAACAGGUUUCUAUUUUGCAGCCUCCUCCUCGGCCACCUCAGCUUGCCUCCUUGCAGCCUCCUCCCUCGUCUUAUCAACCUCGGCAUGCCUAACCAUUUCAAUUUUAACCGCUUUCGAGGCGGCUUCCAAUAGUUUUGGCAGUUCGGCUUCUUUGCCUUGGGACACAGAACUCCCAAAUUUUCUAGACAAGUUGGAGAUGUGCACCAGCUUCCUCUUCUUCGGCUCCUCAGGGACUUUCUCCUUCCCCUGAGGCUCCUUGGACUUUUCUGGCCUCUGGGGGGUCCCCUCUUCGAAAGCCCGUGAUGUGCUGUCCUUGGAGAGACGCUCCACUCUGCCUUGGACCUCCUUGGCGCCAGUUGACCCCGGCUUCAAGGGCCUCACCUUCACAGUAGAGGUUGCCUUAAGUAUGGACGCCAUGUCAGGAGCUGGGUACUCCUUCCUCUUAAACUUGUCUGCACAAUACAGCUUGUCAGUAUCAAAACGAAAACACAAAAAUAUACAAGUGUGGGAGCUUCGUACCUUUGGAGGCCAUUAGCUCAAAGUCGGGGAAAUAGCGACUUCUGUCGAUGAGGUGGUUGAAGUGGCGAAACUUCAGAGGUCUCUUGUAAAUGUCCUCCAUCACCUCAAACUCCUCCCUGCUCAGCUCGAACCUCGUACUACUAUCUGCAAAGGACGCUUCAACAGUUAGAAAAAUAAAAUUUUUAAUACAGAUUACAAACUUGGGCUGGGAAACUCAUGAGCUUCGUAGUACUGGGUCGGUACUGUGCAAGCCAAGGCUUUGUCCCCCUCCAUUGCAUGCCACCUGCCUCGCACCUAAAAUCACGACUCCUUCCACCCCUUGAUGGAAGAAGGUAGUCCCACCACAAAUAGUGCGAGAGCCCCCCAAGGACUUAGGUAAUACCACCCCUUCGACUCCUUCCCUAUUACCCUAGGCUGGAACAGGGUCAUGAAGAAGUGGAGAGACAUGUCCUCCCCAAGUGAUACUUCCUUCCACAGGAAGUACGAGCCAACCAACUGGCUCUACCCGUUUGGCAGAACCUGGGUCGACGACAGCAUGAAGUUCCUCAGCACUACCCUAAAGAGGGGGUGCAGAGGAAGACGCAUGCCUGCCUUAAACAGGUAUUCACUCACCGCCACACAAUCGGGCCUCGGAUAAUAGGCCCGCUCAUGGGCUUCGGGAACUAACAUUUCCACAUAGUGAGGCACAUAGUACCUCUCCCUAAUCUCCCCCAGCCUCUUCCCUGUCAUAUUUGAAGGCACCCUAGACUCCCCCUACUCUUCGUUAUAGUCAACUGGCUCCUCGGUCAUAGCAUACCUAUCCACCUCGAAAUCCCCCUAUGACUGACUCCAUGGUCCAGUAACGCUACAGUGACCAACUCCCUACCCGAAGUGGACUCCAUCUCAGAAAUAACUAAGAAUGCAGUAAAAGGAGGAUUUUCUGUGAAAAAUACCUACUGAAAAACUACACAAACAGAGUGUGCUAGAAAAGCAAUUAACGGACUUACCUCAACGCCGGAAUGUUUAAGUUCUAAGAGAAGAAAUCAGAUUGCAAGUGUUGGAAAAUCUGGAAAAAGGGAGUUCUCUCGCCUUUUAUAAAGGGCCAAGACGAAUCCCCACCGUCAGAUCAAAACUCAUUCAAUCUGAACCCUUCAUUUCAAAUCAAAUCUGAGGCGUAGAAUUCAAACGGUUUUCCAAAUCUAAGCCUCAGAUUUAAGCGUGUCUCCCACGUACCUCAGCCAACGCAUCUGCUUCUAGAAGCUCCAACUGUUCUAAUAAUUACGAUUUUAAUUCGGCGGCAACAGGCAUCUUGGAAGUCCGAACGGUUCAGCCACCUUUCCUCGAAAACAUGCGCAAAACAUCAAAUCAUUGGUACAACUGCCAAGGAACAAUUAUUGUCAAUGAACCUCGGCUUCAUCUUCAACAUUCAGCCAUCAAGCCUCGCAGGUUCGAUUUCCCAACCACCUCGGCUUAAUCUUCAACUCAGUCAUCAAGCAUCGCAGGUUCGGUUUCCCAACCACCUCGGUUUCAUCUUCAACAUGGAACGGUUCAGCCACCUUUCCUCGAAAACAUGCGCAAAACAUCAAAUCAUUGGUACAACUGCCAAGGAACAAUUAUUGUCAAUGAACCUCGGCUUCAUCUUCAACAUUCAGCCAUCAAGCCUCGCAGGUUCGAUUUUCCAACCACCUCGGCUUAAUCUUCAACUCAGUCAUCAAGCAUCGCAGGUUCGGUUUCCCAACCACCUCGGUUUCAUCUUCAACAUUCAGCCAUCAAGCCUCGCAGGUUCGAUUUUCCAACAUUCAGCCAUUAAGCCUAGCAGGUUCGGUUUCCCAACCACCUCAGCUUUGUUAAGUGUUUUCAUACUUGGCCAACCUACUUGGGCAUAUGGCCCACUCAAUCCGAACCACGUGUUCAAAAAUUCUUUCAAUUUUUACCCAACCCACUGCUUUACUUCAUUAAAGUCCACACAUUACAUAAAUGACUAUACUUGGAGUUUGGGGACUAUUGUUACGUGCUGUCAUACUUGGCCAACCUACUUGAGCCUAUGGCCCACUCAAUUUGAACCACGUGGCGCUCUAACCGAGGUGGUUUGUAUGGUCGAGGCCUGUGAAGAUAGUCGAAGCCCUAAAGACGAAGUAUUACGUGAGUGGCAAAAGCCCCAAAUCUGAAGCCGAAGCAGAAGCCUCCGAACCAUAAAGGAACGCCUUCCAUGAUCACUUCUCCCAAAAGAUCUUCUAUAUAAAGAUCUUGUUAGAAUGAUUGAUGGAACGUUUGUCAUAAGUGUACAUGUCAAGUCUUGUCAUUAGCAUGGGGGUUCUGCAUAAGUAAUAAAUGCGCAGCAAGUUAGCAAGUCAAGGAUGAUGCCUAGGAUUUGAUGUUUGAAUUAAAGAGAUGAGACCACGUGCCACCUCAUCCAAUGACUGUCAUUUCACAUGUACCACUAUAAAUACUUCCAUUGUAUAACAUUGAAAGACUAAUGCAAGAAUCAAUACAAGAAACCACACUUUACUCUCUCUUUCAUAUUGCUUUACAACGCAAUACAAGUUCAAACAUAUUUACAUGCAUAUUCAUGAGCACCGAUUGGUAAUUAUUGUACAAUCGAAUUAAGAACAUCCCGUCGGAUUCCGAACGUUCUCGUCCCGCAUCGUUGAGCUACUCCCACGUCCCUGAUUCGUUCAUUCUAGACCGUCCACGUGUCUUAAGCGUGUAGGACCUUCGCUCACGUGUGCGCGGAUGGGUCCGGUAUCUGAUGGUGAUUUUUUUGGGGUCAACAAUAGCCAUAAACCUAAAAUUGCAUGGCAAAAAACAGGAGUCAAUUUGUGAUGGAAAUUUUGACUUUCGAGAUCCUUCGAUUGCCUACUGAUCAACGUGCAUCCCACUUUGUUAGGAGCCUUCUCUUUUUUAAAAUUGAAUAGCUUUUGACCAUAAAUGAGAAAUGUCAUUUGUACAAUAUUAUCUUACCACAUUAAUGAUAAUGUUAAUAGGUGACAAAAAUGUAUUGUAUGAGAAAAAAAUUACUUUUUAAACUAUUCAAUGACAAUUUGCCACUUUGCAUGUUGGCAACGAUGUUGUCAAAAUAUUAUACUACAAACAUGAUUCAUAAUAACCAUACGUGUUAAAUUUAGCUAGACACAAAAUUAUUUGGACCGGCAUAAAUUAGCUGCUAAAAUGCACAUCUCACGACAUAAUCAGGGGCAUCAAGUGAAUCAAAUGUAUAGAACAAGUUAAUUAGUUUGAUUUGUCUAUGUCGAGUUCAAUUCAUUCAAUGAGCUCAUUCCUUGGCGUUGGUGAGUUGGCUUGUACAUGAACCGCGAGUGAGCUAACUCACUCAAUAAACGACUCGUAUGGCUAAAUGUUGAUCUGCUUGUACCACUUAACGCCCUUAUAAGUCGUGUCAUACUUGACGGGCAUCUUAAAACAUAUUAAGCCUAUGUUUAAUAGGAAUUAAAAUCGAUAUCUUAACUUAAGUUGAAAUCGACAAUUAAUUUUAACCACGUAUUUUAUGAGAUUCACAACUUUUCAACCACAUUUCAUUAAUUUUUAUCAAAAUCUAUUAAAUUUUGAUUUUAAUCCCCACCAAACAGAAGAUACUCAAAUUUGAGACAAGUUCAAAAGAUCAAAAUCGAUUUCUCUCAAUACAAUUAAUUCGACCAACCAGUUGUGUAUGAUUUAUUAUAUUUUGAGAUUUGAGGUUAAUAUAUAAUUUUUAGUUGCGUAUAACACGCAGUUUUUUUAUUACAUGAAAGCUAAAAGAUUAGAAACAAAAAAAUUUCCAGUCAAGUGCUGAAAGGGAUUCAAACCCAACAUAUUAUUAACAAUUUGAAUGUCUUUCGAAUCAAAAACUAUCGGUUCUCCCGAAUUAGGAAACAUACAAGUCGACAUAUCCAUCAACAAAUCAGACUUGAUCAUUAACCAUAAUGUAUUUUUAAGCACCAACGCAUCAAUAUCUUCCCAUGUUCAAUCAUUCUGUAUUGAAGCUCUAUUUUCCAUCCUCCAAAUGGAAAUCUAACAUAUUAACAAUAAAUUGGCCUCAGUUUCAAGAAAUCUAUCCCAAGGAUCUAUUCGAAACCAAGAAUGGAUUCCUCUUGUUUAAUAUCCCAAAUACUUUGGUGCAAAAAACAAUAACCGUUCCAAGGCACUCGGAGCAAAUUUUCUGGCAAAAAGAUAACAAAUAGAAGAUGACUUGUCAUUAUAUACACAAUUUUGGCCUUCAAAAAUUCUCUUCAUGAAUUCCUCAGUUAUAUCUGAUUGUCCAAAAGUAGCAGGGUGAGCACCUCCCCUUGACCAGUCCGUCCACGUUAUGCUUCUAUUUGCCAAUGAAUUUGCAGCCCGAAUAGUCAAUAGAGUCGGAAAAUAGUGUUCAUCCACAUAACAUGCUGGUCGGCAGAACUCUGCAAAUUUUGGGUAGAAUUUAGCAUCUUCAACAAUGUAGAGAGCAAGUUUUCUGUUGAUUUCAAACCAUUGGGACCCUUUACGCCAUUGGGUGAUGUUAACCUCGGGCAACAUGUUGUAAUUAUAGCGCCCUCUCCCGUAUGGCCCCAGGUCAUCAAAUGCACCAAUGAAGCUAUAUUUCGAUUGUGAUAUGUAAUUGUAUACAGUAGUGAAAUUGAAGAGGGGAAUGCAUGACUCGGAAAGUAGAACAAACCACUCGUUAUUGAUAUCAAGCAAGGCAUUAGCAAGAAGUCUUCUCUCUGAGUCACACAUGCUCAUUUUUCCCCAUUCUGAAACCUGAAGAAGAAAAUCACAAAAUCAUCAGCUAGUUUAUGAGAUGAUGGACUAGAAGUAUUUCCAGAUAUCAAAAUGUAGUAUUUAUCCUUGAAGAAACCCAUCAAAUGCUUGUUAAUUUACUCGAGAAGAACCAAGUAAAAAGCAAAAUAAUCAAAAACAUACUAUGGGAAAAUUCAGUUAACCAUGAGUUAGAAAUUGCUUUUUCACUUUGUCUGUAUUCAGCCGUUUUCCCCCAACCCCCUCGGAGAGGAAGGUUUGGCAACUAGUUAAGUAUGUCGCUUGCUCUACUUCCUUGGCCAAAAUAGUGAGGCAGGCAAGCAUCGCUUCCUACUAAUCCGGUCUUGUUCUCUAAAAGCAUAAAUCCCUUACUCCAUUUCCUUUAGUAGGAAUAAAGGGGUGGGAAAAGCAUUGCUUUCUACUUAUCCACGCUCUCUAAAAGCAACUCCCAUCGUUGGUGGACAUGGCACAUUAUAUGAUCAAUAUGACUCCUGUCAUCAAUAUGUUUAACUCUCAGAAGAAUCGAUGAGUGUGCAGCUCCUUGUUAUUCAAACGAAUACUCCCUAUACUGAUCCUUAAAAACACAAUGAACGGGUAUCCAUCCUCCUCCUGUACAUUGCAAUUUCAUGCCAUAAGCUUACUGACAAUCAAGAAUGCACAAGCUUUCCAAUACAUCCCUGUUAAAGAAAUUCACGUACAGGAUGAGAUCCAAUUCAAGAGCCAAUACAGUGGCAUUGUUGGCGAGAAAAUAUAAUGCAGCCAUUUUUGACAAAGUCUGCCCAACUUUUGUUCUACUCAUCACUUUGUGCUUGAUAUAGUGAACAAACAAACAGUACCUCACAUUUCAAAAGCCAUAGAAUGAGUACCCAAAAGUCUAUGCCCUCACCAAAUUGGAAUAGAUUGCUAAAAAAAGUCAGAAUCCUCUGAACAGAGAAUUGAGUCGCCUAUAAAGGAUCUGCUAUGUUCAACUAAGUGUAGACAAAAAUCAUAGUGGAUUAAGAGGUUUAGUCUGAGAAUUCGGAAAUCUAAGAGCACAAACUACAAUGAGUUUCAAAGUGAGUUGGGGGGUUCCACUAUCAAUUAAGGUGUGUAAUAUUUGUCUGACACUGGAACCGAAGCAUGUCCGGUUUCAUAGUUGACAGUAAUGCAGGUUGGAGAACAUAUCAUAUAUUGAUUCUUUGAUGUAGGACCGAAACUGCAAAUCAAUCCAACCUUUUCCUCAUAUUCUGUUUAAUGAAGAGUAUAAUAAAAUCAGUUUUAUAGGUAUAAUGCAUAAGAGAAUAUCCUAGUUCAACCUUUAUCUACCAUGUGAUUUUGAAGGGGAAAGGUAACAAUCAAAGUAGAGAAAAAAGCUCUAUGCCUCUAUCCAUCAGCGGCUAAACUUGUUCCAGGCAUGACAGUCAGAAACGGAUAAAUAAAUAAAACUAGUGAGUAUCACAGCCAACCUAGUUUAAGGAUCCUAUAGCAAAUGGUUGUAAUAUUACUCGGAAAUAGGAGGGUGGAAAGGCUUUGCAUUCAAUUAAUCCCCUGGUGUCAUAUCUAAUCCAGUACAUGGGCUCAUGCUAUCUAGAGAUCGAAACCCAAGAACAAAAAAAUUAAAGAACAAAACAUAACAUCUAUCAAAAAGAAGAUGGUGUAAAACAUAUAUACCUGACUUGGUAUCUGUCUCUUGUAAAAAACUGACGAGGAUGGAAAAUCAGCCUGAUAUGAUGGCAGUGAAUGGAUAUAUAUUGAAUACAAACCCUCAUGACCAUUAAAAAACCUUUCCCAAAGAGGUGCCAAUGGCAAUGGCCCCUUAGUCAAGAACAUGAAUGCAAUCUUUGGAACCCUCUUAAAUGGAUACUUCUUCACUUUGGGUGCAAAAGAUGCCCUCCACAACAACUCCUGAUCACUCAUUGAAUGCAUCAAAUCGGCCGGAGGCCGGAUCCAACCGUCGAGAUUAUUCUGCUCAUCCUCAAUGAAGGGCUGUAAAGUAGGCCUUACUGUAGUAACUAUACUUUGAACUCCAAAAUGCUUAAUCGUAUAGACACUAACUACAGAGAAAGUGAAACAUAAAGCCAGAAAAGGUACAAGCAAUUGAAGCAACCUUUGAGGCAAAACCCUAGAUUGGCUUGUCCUGGUAAUCAUAGUAGGCUCUUUACCUUCCUCCAUCUCUCUAACGCUUCAAAAGUGUCCAAAACUUAUCCUAAUUAAUUUCCUGAAUCACAGCCAAUUCAUAAAUAACAUCAGGAAUUGCCUAAUGCGCACUCUUUUUUCCGCCGUAUGAAUCCAACCAAACACUCAAAAAAAAACUUCAUAACGAGAAAAGAUCUCUCUCAAAAAAAAAAAAUCUAAGCCCUUAAGAGAGAGAAGAAGAAUUCGGAGACUGUUAUCGGAGGAGUUGUCAAAGAAAAUAAAGCGAGAUUAGCAUACAGUGGAUUUACAGAACAUCGAACAAAAGAUGUAGAGCGAGGAGGAAUUUGGGAAGAGAGAUCUGCAUCUAUCCGAAAAGGGUGGCAAAAUCCAGAGAAUGUGAAGACGGGAUCUCGAAAUCUAAAAAAAUUUCAGAAACGUGCGCUUAGAGAUUUUUUUCUGCGAGCCCCCACCCCACAAUUUUUUCAAAUUGUCGAUUUAGAUUGGAUAUUAUUUUAUUAAAAAUUGUGUAAUUAAAAAUAAAAGAGAAGGAGAUUUAAUUUAAUUUAAUUUAAUGAGAUUUAAUAGUGGCCAAACGGGAGAAAUUCUAUUUUUUGAACCGCACAUUCUUCAACAAAACAGUAUUUCAAAAUGUAUUUUAAUUUUUUACCUAAAAAUGAGGCUCAAUUAGCGACAUAAUGUCAGUUGAAUUGUAUCUUUAGCGUGAUUCAAAACUUUCUUUUAUUUUUUAAUUGAGACAGGUCAUAUUAUUAAUUGACUUGAAUAUGUUAUUUAUGUUUAUUGGAUAAACGUGUUUUUUUUAAAAAUUUUUAUUCAUAUAUCUAAUUAAUUUUAUCAUUUCCUUCCUCAUUAUUUGCAAAUUGCAGCAUUACAUGAAGAUAAAUAGGCAUAAAACUUUAUAGAGCAAUCACUGUGAAGAAGGGUCUCUUGUGCGCAAAAGUAUAUAGACAAUGGAGGAACCUGUGAUCCAGUUGAGGCAUUACCCACGAUUUACCCCCUCCAAGGUUCUAGGGGCAACGAUCUUUGGGGUUUAGGAUUUAGUUUGAUGUAAGUUGGGAUACCUGGAUAUCAAAAAAAAAAAUAGGCAUAAAACUUAAAAGUGCCAGGUCCACCACGAUAUUUUGAGAUCACGGUUCCGUUUGAGCCUCUUUUUGGGAAAAGAUAUUUAAAAAUGUGAAAAAAAGGAUAAAUUUACGUGUAAAAUUAUUUUAUUGAAAGAAUUUGUAAUUAAAAAUGAGUUUUUGAAUAAUGAGAUUCAAACACGGGCUUAAUAUUUUUACCAUCCAACUCGUGCAAAUUGUAAGUCAGGAUGGCACAAUCCAUGUUAGGCCCUUGAUGUUGGUUGAGAGAUGCUAUAUAUACAUGCCUACUGAUAAGGAUAAGGUGAAGCCACCUCAGCCCCCUAUAUUUAUCCUUGUCAAAAUGAUUGUGUGAUAACAUUAAUGAUGUUGGUAUGGUACAGCGUUUGGGAAGCGUUUCUAAUCGAUUUAAAUUAUAAAUAAGUAAUGGGUGAUGCUAUACGUACAUUCUAAAGUUUACGAGUACCAUUUCUCAGAAGCAAUAAUGAGUUGUGAAUAAAUGAAAAGUAGUUAUGAAUUAUCUAGAAUGGAUGAAUAAAGAGUACGUAUAAUCAAAAGAGUCCAUAAAAUUCCCACUAAUAAUCAUUUGAGUAAGGUAGGGUGUAAUUUGGAGAUUUGUUGGGGUUGGGUGGUAAGGAUUGUUAAGUUUGUUGAGUCUGCUUUACCAGGCAAGUAUUUCUUUCAAGUAAAAUAGACACGCCAUCCUCUUGAUUGUGUUGGAGAACAUUGGGGAAAAUAAUAGAGAGAAUAAAGAGGAAAUUACUCACAGACCUACUUUUUAAUACACAUUUCAAUAAUUAAACAUAAAGAUUUAUCUUUUGAAAAUCAAGUACACCCACCCACUCUGUGCCUUAAUUGAAUUCUUCCCAAAUCCACCCUCCCAUCUCCACGAAGCCCACUAUCGUCCACUCGCCUGUCAUCAUCGACAUCCAUUGCCUUGUCGGACACCCACUACUCUAUCCCAUCCCACCUCACAUCACCUCGACCUAUCCUUUGCCAUAUUUUCCCAAAUCACAAUUCCCACUUUACCAUCGCCAUCCAUCCUCGAAUCCAUAUCCAUACUCAUUUUCCUACUAUAUUCAAUAAGAGAGAUACAAGAAUUGCAUGGGGUGGAGAAUUGUUGGGGUCUUGGAAUUUCAUAAACGCAGAGGGGAUUCUAGAGAUGGAACAUAUAACAAUGCAAUCAAAGAUAGCCGUUCAGAAGAGCAUUUUUCUUGAUCAAAAUAGUAAAAUGGUAGGCACUAUUUGAUGAUUGACUCAUUCCAUACUUGAAAUAAUCGCGAGAAAUACUUUGAUAACCUGGAUUCCCAUUUCUCAAUGAUAUUCCACAAUCAAGAUAAUUAACUGAAUUUACAAUUGCUUCGAGCAUCUCAAGCGAUACCUGAGCCUCAACAUCCCUUGGCCUAAGAUAAAAAAGAUUGUGGACCAUAGGUUGUCUCAAGCAAAUCUCAGCCACAUCAAUUUCAAAGUUUAAGUCAUGGUGUCUUGUGAAGAAGCCCCAUCCCAAAGUAUCAUAUAUUAGUGCAAUUGAAGCAUUAAUUAUCCUUCGGAUUGUACUCGACCGAGCAUAAUUUUUACUUUAUAUCUUCUUGUAAGAUAUAGCUCUGCAACAACCCAAUAACAUUGGAGUGUUGUUAAACAAAUUUUUCGUUACAAAAGAGGUAAUAUUGACACAAAAUUAUUUUAUUCAUAAAAUUUGAAAUCUUCUUUAAUGGGAUGUGCAUAUACAAUUUAUAUCUACAUAAAGUUAAAUGAAAAAUAGAAAGCAAACCUUGGCAUCAACAUUUUCAAAUUAUUAUGUAAUUAUUGUAAUUCAUGAAGUUAGUCAAGAAUGUGUAUGAUUAAGGAAUAUGGUUCAUCAUAUCCAAAUGUAAUACAAAAUAACUUUAACAAAAGAUUAGUCAACAAUAUUGUAUGAAGACAAUAUAACUUAUAUUCCACAUUCAAAGGAAGCUAUAUCAAAUGCUACAUGGGAAAAUAGAUUUCUUCAAUAUUCUUGUAUGCACAUGAGUUAUAGAAGAAUAAUGAUAUCAUUACAUCGAUGUUCAACAAGUUCACUAUAGAGAUAAUGUAACAAAUUAUUCACAAAGCAUUAUUGAUAUCUUUAUUCAAGAAUUGAUACACGAGAUUUGAAUGCGUCGACUGAGAGAGUUUUAGAGAUUAACAUUAUGAGGAAUAGUUGUACUCUUUUCCUUCGUCAAGACUUUGUCCCACUAAUUUUUUUUGGCGAAGUUUUAAUGAGUCGUGAUUUUAUUAACACUCUAAAAUUGUAACAAUUAAUUGUACGUUUUUUCCCUUCGUUUCAUUUUUUUCCCUUCGAAUUGAAUUUUUAUCUAUGUUUAACGAAUUGAUUACUGUGUAAGCAAUCAUCAAAUGAGAUGUUGUAAGAUUAUGAGAUAAUUAAUAUUUAUUAUUUAUUUAAUAUUAUAAGGAUAUUUACAUAGCUAUUACUUACUAUAAAAGUUGGUAUGGUUAAUCGAGAUUUUGAUUGAUUUUAACAAUCCUUUUAAAUUUAGGUAUCAUCAAUUUAAAUUUUAAUGAAUUUAUUAAAAUUUAUUUAGGUGUCUCUAAUUGAGAUUUUAAUGAAUUUCAAUGAAGUUUUUUACAAUUUUGGUAUCCUCAAUAACUAAUGUGCUUAUAAAGAUUUCAUUAAUAGAUGGAUUUUAAAAGAUUUGGAUGAAUUCAAACUUAAAAAUAAAUAAAACAAAAUAACUAAUGUGCUUAUAACUAAUGAAGUUUUUUACAAUUUUGGUAUCCUCAAUAACUAAUGUGCUUAUAAAGAUUUUAUUAAUAGAUGGAUUUUAAAAGAUUUGGAUGAAUUCAAACUUAAAAAUAAAUAAAACAAAAUCUUUUGAAAUUCACCAUUUUUAAUGAGAUACUCAUAGAAUUUGUGAUAAUCUAUUUAAAUCUACGAAAUUCAUUAUAAUUUAUAAUCUUUUAAAAUUCAUCAAAAUUUUAGUUGAGGACUGAAACGAAAAUUUUUGAAAAAUCUUGAUCUGGGCUCAAAAAAACCGUCAAAUGAGCACUACAACCACCAAGGCUCGAUCCAUAAUGCUACACCUUCAAUUGCCUCUUUUUACUCACUCUAGUUACCCUUCUUCUAACUCAAAAAUGACACAAGGAGGUGGUAAUUUGUAAAUUAUAAAGAGAUGAAGGGGAAGAUAAAAUAAUGGUUGAAUAUCACUAUAGAAAUCACGUCACUUGACUGCCUCUUUCAAAUCUCUCCUCUCUUGCACAAACACAGACACGGCUGAAAAGAGGAAGACAAUUGAUCUACAUGAUAAUCAAUGAGGAAAUGUCACUAGGUAUCUAAAAUUUAUUAAAAAUUCCCUUUUUACAUUUCAAAACUUUUUUCACCCAAUAUACUGCAAUAUAUGUAGUAUAUUUGAAAAAUGGAAAGUAUACCCAAUCCCAUAUUUAAGAUAGUAAUAACUGAAAUUAUUCCACCAAACACAUCGUAUAACCCACCCACAAAUUACGCCCUAGUAAAUCCCCAUCUUCAGCUUUACCAUUGUACCAUUGAACAAAUAAUUUUCGAAAACCAAAAUUAAAAACUCUUCAAUACUCUCCAAGAUCUUCACAAAAUUGUAUCUCGAUUCCUUACUUGAGGGUUAAUUCUUUUGAUUUCUCCUCAUGCUGAUGUUGGUUGGGAAGAUGAUGAAAAGCAAUUCUAGCUAUAAUAUUGAAAUCCAAAAUUUUCGAAAUUCAAUUAUAAGUUAACAAACAAAAGCACAGUUAUCUGUGUUGGGCACCAACCCUGUUUGGCACUAGUAUUCUUUUAAUUUGAAUUCCUAAGUACAGGUAAUGGUUUAAGAAUUCAUAUAAACAAUUAAAGUUGCGAUGACUAACAUACUUCUAUGGCUGAGGUGAAGAUAAAGAAGAAAAUUUGGAGAUCUGAUUUGUGUUCAAGUGCACUGAUCAUUGACAUCAAGUAAAUAAUGCUUUAAAAUGUUAAAGUAAUGAAAAUGAUACGUUCGAUAUAGAAAAUAUUGAACAUGCUUUAAACCUUGACUGAAGCAAGGACAUAGAUUGAGGAUGAAUGUUUCUAACAUAUGAUGGUGUGGUAUACAAAUACUCUUGGCAGUUUUGAAGUCGAGUUUUAAAGCAUCUACGAACGUUGGUCUCGACUCUAGAGAAGCUUCUCGGAGUUGGUUGUGAUAUGUUUUCUUACCUUCUUAUUCAAGGUUUGCAUUAUUUAUAUUAUCAACUCCAUUAUCUUUAGUAUGCAAGUAACCAUACAAAGGUAUAAAGGAGAGAGAGCAUGAAAAGAGAAGAAGGAAACAAUUUAUUUCAUUUUAUAUCUUGAGAAUACAAGCUAUUAAUUCAGUGGUAAGCAUAGAAUACAAUAUAUGAUGUCCCAAACUAAGAUAAAAUUAACUUCCUUUCCGCUUCUCUAAAAUUUAGCUUAUGCUCACUCUCUUAUCUUCCCAACUUUUUGUGCAUUUUACAAUUUGCAUAUUUGAUCUAGGAGGUAAUAUCUCACCAUGACAUCGACAAUUACCUACUUUCCAUUGGGUAUGAUCUCCAAGUGGUACAACAAAACCAGCUUAACAACCCAUGUAAAUAUCCUUCGUGCGUAUUGGGAACAAAAAUUCUAUGCUUGUUCACCUUUGUCGUUGAUUACAGCUAAUCCGUGUUUACACGAGACUCCAUCCACCUGAAAUUGAUUGCACGUGCAUGUAAUCAACUUGCUGUGAGUUCUCAUCCGACAUUUAAUACAAGAAUUCAUUUGAUGUAGGCAACCUGAAAAUCAUGAAUUCCAUGUUAAGAACUACGUACGAUCUCAUGUCAUUUGUAAUAAAUCAAUGUAAUUCUUACAAUUACUGUACGAGUACAAAAUCAUUAUAAAUGCAAAGUAAUUUUUUCAUUGUGCGAUACUCUUGUUCUUUGAAAACCACAUCUAUACAACGUUCAUCGAGUCCAUAUCUACAUCUACACAAUAAUGUAGGUUUCAACACAAGUUGAUAUGAUCAGGGGAGGGAUUUAUACAUAGUGAUCAAUGAUAGAUAUACACACUUCAUACGAUACAUAACAUCAUGUGAUAUCAAUAGAAUCCAAAUCAAUAUUAUAGGACUUUUAAAAAUUUUGGACACAAUAACCAAAUCAUUCCUCAUGUGUUUUACCCAAUAACCCAUUAAGUAUAGAAAUAAUUUUAACACACAGUCCAAUAUAUUACUCAAUGUAUUUUGGUGUAAGAAUGAUAAAAUGAAUUACCACGCACCGAUCGGAUUCAAGGAUUACAAGCUAAUCACCUACGAGUAAAUAUAGAAUACACAAAAUAUCAAUAAAUAUAGAAAAUCUAUUAAACACCUCAGUAGUCAAAAAUAUAAGAAAGAUAAAUCCUACAAGAACCUUGAUAAUCGAAGAUCGGAGAUGGCAUUUAUUUAAUUUUAACAAUUCGCUAAAUCUCUUCAUGGUGAUGGUGAUUUUUGGAAGAAGAAUCUACUGCUAUUGCAAUGUCUCACUCAUUUUGAAUUUGAAAAUUCACCCAUGAAGCAAUAAUCUAUUGAUUGCAGUCCAUGAUUUUUGGCUAAGUGUUUUCAAUUACGCCUCAAACUAGGAAAGGUGUCAGUGAAUAUUUCUAGUUUUUUUAUGUCUAUGCGUAGUAAAAUAAAUAUAUAAUAUUAUAUUACAGUAAAAAAUGAAUUUGUUUUUUAUUUGUAGGUAUAUAUGAAUUUUUUCCAUCAAUGAUUAGGUCACUAAUUUGGCCCAAACACUACUAUACAAAAUGGGCCAGAAGACAUUAAUUGGAUCACCAACUAAAAGACCAAGCUAACUAACUAAAUGGGCUAAUACAUAACCAAUCAACAAAAGCCUAAACCAGUAACCACAAGGACAAUUGGGCUAAACCCAUGGCCAUCCUAAAGUGUAAGAGGUUGUUUUCCGAUUGAGUCAAAUCUAUGAUGUCGUUAAAUUAUUCGAUAAUUGUUUAAAAUCAUAGCUUGAAAUUUAUUGGCUAUCAAAACUCAGUAAGGACAUCUUAGAACCAUAUAUUUGUGUCCACUAUUAUAAUAAAAUCGCGCAGUAACAUAUUCAAUUAAGACUUUUAAAGAUUUUUUGAAAUUAAAAAGUUUAUGAGUAUUUUAUAUAGAUUCUCUAAAAUUAUUUGUGUAUUUAAUUUGGACUUUAAUAAACUUUUAAAAAGUCCUUUAAAAUCACGAUUUAUUUAAUUAAAACAUUUUAGAGGUCUUUAUAAAUCUUGGUGUAUUCAAUUUGUUAAUGAUUUUUCAAAACUUUUAAAAAGUCUCUAGAAUACUAACUUUUAAGCAAAAAAUAAAAAAAGAAAACCUUAAAAUUUGUUUCUCAUUCAUCCUAAAAUUUUGAGAGACUUUCAUAUUUAAAAAAAAAAAACGAUUUCUUUCAAUAUUUCUCUUUUCUUUUUCCUUCUACGAACAUUAGAGCCAUGAUUAAUUAAAUAUUUUUCAAUCGAUUAUAUUUGUUUCUAUUUUUCUUUUUUUCCCUCUAUCUCUCUUUUAUUGUUUACCUAAAUUUUCUAUAAAAAUAUUAAAUUGUAACUAAAGUUUUUUAUGAUUUUUUUCUUUUUUCAUCUAUUUUUUACAAAAAAAGAUCUAUUUGUAAUUCAAUUAUAAUAUCUUAUAGAAAAAAUAAUUUAUAAUUAAAUUUAAAUAUAUUGAUUUCUUCUUUGCUCUUUAAAGGUAUGUCAUAUUGAAAACACUGAACAUUAAUUAAUUUAUUUUUAUUUUCUAUCAACGAAUAAUGAAAUAUAAAUAUUAUUUUCAUAUUAAUUAUUUAAUUAAGGUGACUUAAAUUUUUACUUUUAAAAAAUAUAUAUAUAUAUAUAUAUUUCUUACACAGGAAGGAGAAAAUGCAUUGUGGGACCUACCACCUCAUAUGUGAGAACUUCACAUUUUAAAUGAAAGUUUUCGAAUAUAUUUUGAAUUCUACAAAAGUCUAUAGGAGUUUUAAAUUGAAACUAUAUAAAAGUUUACGAAAGACUUUCAUUAAUCCCAUACAAACCCAUAAAAUUUCACGAAAUUCACAGUAGUCAUCACUUAAAAAAAGCUUAUAAAAGUUUUCAAAAAUCUCAUUGAACACACCCCUACUUUAGAAAGCGUCAUCAACUGAGAUUUUGUUGGAUUUCUAAAAUAUUAUAAAUUCUGAUGAAUUUCGUGAAUUUAAUUAGAUUUCCAAAAAAAUCAUAAAAAUCUCAUUUAAAAUGUUGAAAUUUGAAAAGAGUUUGUUGUAUGUAUUUUUAAGUUUGAAAUUCAUCUAUUAAUAAAAUCUAUAUAAUUCUAUGAGUUAUUGAGGACAGCUAAAUUUUAAAAUUUCAAUUUGGCAUACUUAAAUUUUAAUGAAAAUUCAUUAUAAUCUCAACUUUGGGACAAGGUGGAUUUAGAAGGAUCUUUGAACCUCUUGUAUUUCUCUCUUAUUAUCUUUUUAUUUCACAACGACCAGUAUUUUUUUUCCAAUUUAUAUUUCUUAUUUGCAUUUUAAUUAAUUCAUCUGCUUCAAGUAUUUUUUUCGAAUCUUGUCGUACAUUUCUCUUUAGACUUGAUUAACUCGUGCAGACUAUAGUAUACGCCUUACCGCUUGGACUCAAUGGGACUUGAGCAGCUAGAUUAACUCGUACACAAAAUUGAAAAUACAAAAUUCAAUAAAUAAAUAAAAAUGCUGAUGUUAAUUGUUUGACAAUAAUUUAAUGUUAAAAAAAUAUAAAAUAUUUUACUUUUAAUAUUGUUAAUGCAUCUAUUUAGAAAUAAAAAUGUUUUUGAAAAACAAUUUUUACUUAGUUUCCGAAUGGUUUGAAAAUUCUAUCAAAUAUUAGGUUCAUCAAAAAACGGAGGCUCAUAUUAAGUAUAAUAAAAAUCAAUGUUUGUAACAUCGGACUGGAUUAGCAGGGUCAAUCGUUAAAAUAGGGAACUGGACCAAAAUUCGAUCCAAUUAUACUAAAUUAACCGGUUAUUUAAUAACCGGUCAAAUAACUAGAAAACGGUCAAUUAAACAGAAAACUGGGAACCAGUUACGGUUUUUUGACCGGUUUCCACAACUUUUUUAAAAAAGUGAAAAUAAAAAACUAUAUAAAAAAGGUUACCUUAAAGAUGGAAAACCUAUAUGCUAACUUUUUUACCUAUGGAGUUUUUUUAUAACCAUUUCUUGAAUCCCAUAAUUGAUAAACUUCUAAUGUGUGAUUGACAAAAUUUAGAAACACACUUUCAAUACACUUUCAAUGUGGGAUUGACAAACUUUAAUAAAGCACACUUUUUGAAUAUUAUUUAUGGCCACAUGGUGCAUAACUACAAAAUUAAAUUACUCAUUUCUAUAGAUUGCUAAACAUUUUUUUUUUAAUCUUACAAAUUAUUUAGUAAAACUGAAAUGAGUUUUUAAGUGAUCUAAAAAAUAAAAACUAUUAAAAUUUAUAUUAAAAUCAUACAUUUGUAUUUAUUUUGAAUUGAUGGUGUAAAAAUUUAAUUAUAUAUUGUUGUGAAAAUAAAAUUUAAAUGUUUAUGAAUAUUUAUUUAUCACCUUUGUUUUAAAACCAGUUCGAUCUCGAUUGAACAUUUUGACUCUCGACCCUUUCUCUUUACCGCGUCGAUGCCCAGGCCGAUUUUUAAAACAUUGAUAAAAAAAAAAAAAUAAAAAAAAAAAAAUAAAAAAAAAAAAAUAAAAAAAAAAAAAUAAAAAAAAAAAAAUAAAAAAAAAAAAAUAAAAAAAAAAAAAUAAAAAAAAAAAAAUAAAAAAAAAAAAAUAAAAAAAAAAAAAUAAAAAAAAAAAAAUAAAAAAAAAAAAAUAAAAAAAAAAAAAUAAAAAAAAAAAAAUAAAAAAAAAAAAAUAAAAAAAAAAAAAUAAAAAAAAAAAAAUAAAAAAAAAAAAAUAAAAAAAAAAAAAUAAAAAAAAAAAAAUAAAAAAAAAAAAAUAAAAAAAAAAAAAUAAAAAAAAAAAAAUACUAUUAUUAAAACCAGUCAAGAAUAGUCGCUUCAAAAUUUUAUUUUUGUUUUUCCUAAUAUAUUUUACUAUUGGUUUGAAUUUUUAUCAUUUUCAAAUCGAUCUCCAAUCAAUGUACAUUCAAGUGCUUUUUGUCAACGCAACAGAAUGCUAUAGCAUUUAAUUUAAUUUUAUUUUUAAUUUUUUUCUUUUUACUUUUAAAUGGAAGGAAAAGUAUUGAAAUCCCUACUCCACGAAUAAAGCUUUAUGAUGGGGAUCUACAUAAUUUAGAUACAAAGUUAUUCAUUCUCCUGUACAUAUUUGCCAUGACAUGUCCAGGAUGUAUAGUCAAGUAAUAUGCCUUGGUGCUUUUGUAGGAGUAAAGACUUGGUGCUCUAUUUUCCUUUAGUUUCUUUAGCAGUAAGAAUUGAUUAUGGUAUUUUUUUGUAAAUGCGGGACAUAUAGAAAUUCUUUUGCCCGAAGACAACAAUCUGAAUGAUAAAUGCUUAAGGGUAGAAACUGAAAUUAUUGUGCCGAGUGUUGGAAUGAAGUUUAACGAUGAAAUGAGGUAUCUGAAUUUUACAAGAACUGCAUACAUCAAAUCGAUUUUCCCAUUAGAAAAGAAAAUUAGAAGAAAGGUGAUGACGAGGUUGUAUGUUACGUAACCUUGACACAGGGCCGGUCCUGUUAUUUUCGGGGCCUGAGGCGGACUUUGUAAAUUAGGCCCCCCAAAGGUUAACGUAAAUACAAAAUUUAACGGUGUAUCAUGCAACCGAUUGUUAACUUAAAACUAAACAAUAAAACAACAAACAAAAUAUUGAUUAAAAUCCAAGCACGUUAAAAACCCAUUUAAAAUGGCAAGAACUGUUCAACCCUUUCAUCCUACUAGCAAUUUUUUUUCCUGUUUGCACUCUCUGUCGAGUUAAAAUAAGCAAUUAAGCAUACAAAAUAAGUAGAAACUCCCAUAAGUUCCUCUUAAAAACUAUAAUUUCCAUUAAGUCCAAAACGGCAAAACCUGAAAACCCAAAACUUACAGUUUUCCCCUUUUACAACUAAAACGGAUCAAUUAUUUAUGCUUCUCCCCAUUAUCAUCACAGCCUCUUGAAUCUUGAUUAUGCACAUAUCCAUUUAAAAUACGUAAUGAUGAAAAUCAAAAACAACAAAAGCAAAAAACAAAACAAAAAAAAAGAAAAACAAGAACAGAAACAAGAAAUGAAUAAUGACCUACUAAAUAGCUAAUAUAGCCACUACCCAUCAGGAUUAUUUUUCCGAAACCAAUAAUAGCUACAAAAUUAGGAAGCCAUGACAAGAAGUACAGGUUCACUUUGAAGAAGUCAACAAAUUGCCAUUUAAUUCCAAUUUUUUGAACUAUAUUCUCUGAAUCUCAAUAACUAGAAAAAAUGAAUAAUAUGAUUUAAAACACAAAUUAAAAAAUACUCAACAUAGAACAAAAACAAAGAGAGAGAGAGAGAGAGAGAGAGAGAGAGAGAGAGAGAGAGAAGGCACUCACCAGUCACUGCACAAUCUGAGAUUUUGGGAAGUGUCGGCGGUGACUCCUCAUCCAGUGGUCAUCGCCUUUCGGCCGUAGCAAACUUCACUUUGCAGUUCACUGACCACUGUUCGCAUAAAUCCCAGCUGCUGUGGCUGCCUCUAUUUGGAAUGGAACUAUGCAAAUUGGAAUGGUCUAGGGUUUGCCAUUUAUGGUUUGGAAUUGGAUUAGAUAACUUGGAUUUGGACCAUUCGUUGGUUUGAGGCUAAUUGAAUAUAGAGAAAAAUUCAUAAAUCCUAACGCAAGUAUAGGUGAUUUAAAAACUAAGAUGACAAGUUUGAAUGUGCAAAAAUCAGAAAUAUUAAACAAUCAAUCAGUUACCCAAAAAUCAGCAUCCACUUACCUUCAAAUUUGGGAUUCUAUAUCAUAACAGAAUUACCUUCCACAAUUAGAAAUUCGUGUCUCUAAAAUCAAGCAUCCGUAUGAGAGAGAGAGAGAGAGAGAGAGAGAUGAUUCUAUUACAAUUAGUCCCUGAAAUCAAGCAUCCUGGCAAUUUUUGUGUGCCAUGAGACUUCUUCUAUAACUGUUAUUAUGGUCUAAAUGAUAGAAGGCCAUGGUCUAAUUUGUAACUUGUAAGGGGUUCGGAUUAUUAAUUGCCUGCUACUAGUUUUUCUUUUUUCAAGUUUGUUUGAUGCUUCUGAACAUGAGCACAAUGCUGCGCAUCAUUCCAAGUGAACGGAUUUAGGGAUUAUGCAUGUUUGUUCGUUUAAAUCCUUGAACCACGUAAUUAAUUAAUUAUAUAUUUCAUUAAUUAAAUAUAUUAAAAGCCACAUAUCUAUACAAUUUGGUCACAAAUUCGUAACUUAAUUAGUCACAUAUUAUUUUUCGAUCACAAAUCAUAAUUUUUAAAUAGCACAAAUUAUUUUACAAUCACAAUUCAAAAUUUUAUAGGUCACAGUUUGUUCAUCAAUCACAAAUCAAAAAUUAACACGUCAUAAUUUAUGUAUCGGUCACAAAUCACAAGGUCACAAACUUAUUAGACAGUCACAAAUUAAUAUUUUUUUAGGUCACAUUGGUCACAAUUUAUUGAACCACGUAACUAAUUAAUUAUAUAUUUUAUUAAUUAAAUAUAUUAAAAGUCAUAUAUCUAUACAAUUUGGUCACAAAUUCAUAAUUUAGUUAGUCACAUAUUAUUUUUCGAUCACAAAUCAUAAUUUUUAAAUAGCGCAAAUUAUUUUACGGUCACAAUUCAAAAUUUUAUAGGUCACAAUUUGUUCAUCGAUCACAAAUAAAAAAUUAAUACGUCAUAAUUUAUGUAUCAAUCACAAAUCUGAAGGUUACAACUUAUUAGACGGUCACAAAUUAAUAUUUUUUUAGGUCACAUUGAUAACAAUUUAUUUUCAUCGGUCGCAUAUUUUUUAUUGGUCACGGAUUAAUCAAUUUAAUGGUCUUCAAUGUAAAAAGAUAAUUUAGUUUAUCUCAGUUUGACCACUAAAAGCAUUAUAUUAAAAGUUAUUUAUUUCCUUGGAACUUAGAUGAAACUUGUAGCUUAGCCACAAUCUAGUUAGAUAAUAAUCCAUCCAUCUCCCUCACUAAGAUCUAGGGGCGGGGCGGUGGGGGCAUUCAAGGUUGGAGUUCCUUUUCAGAUAAUAAUCCAUCCAUGAUGCAACAGACAACAGUGUCAGAAAUCUCACUAACUACGCUACUUGCGUCCCUCACUCCACAAAGUAGAAGAAGACCAUUAGAUUGUGCACUUGCAGUUGUGUACCUGGGCAAGGAAAUAUGCAAGAUUCUCCUUUCAUUCUGAUCUUUGUAAUAAUUCCCACUAAUUUAUGCAACAAAAUUCAUGCUUCUCGAUGCUUGUCCUAACAAUAUUUGUAGCUGCUAGAGAGCGAGAGGACGGGUGGAGACUGGAGAGAGAAGAUGGGUGAGAGGAGAGAGGAGAAAUUGGAGAGAAAAUAUAAUUAAUUAGAGAGGCCAGGUGGAGAGAGGGAGAGAGAAGACUGGUGAGAGAAUAAAUUGGAGAGAGAAAUUGAUUAGAUAAAGAAAUUGGACUACUGGAGAGAGAAAUUGGAGAGAGAAGACGGGUGAGAGAAUGAAAUUUAUGUAAUUAAUAUUUAAUAUUUAAAUAUAAAAAUUCUGAUUUUUGAAAUGUUAUACUACUCUUCUUAUUUUUGAACCCUAGAUUUUAACUCUAGGGUUUUGUGUAAUUACCACUUGAAUAUAAUACAUAUGCAUCCAUUUGAUAUGGGCCAAAUAUCGUUAAACAAAAAGAGGCCCAUCACCAAACAAAAGGAACAAAAAUGUCGUUAUGAAUUUCAGUCGUCUUCCCCGCCUCUUCCUCUUCAAUUCUGGAACUCCCGGCACCCGGAGGCUACUGAACAUUCACUCUCCUCCUUCCCAACCUGUAAAUUCUGGCUCAGGAAAAUGAUUUCUCCUUCCAGUUUUUUCAUUUAAUUGUCAAAAAAAAAUUGGCGAAAUGAGGCCCCCUUCCAGUUCUAGCCAGAGGCGCAGGCCUCAUCCGCCUCGCCUCAGGACUGGCUCUACCUUGACAUGCAGUUGGGAAGGGCGUCGAACUAGUGGUACAAAUGCUCGUCCAAAGCCUCAACCAACUAUAUAGACUGGGUGUAAAAGUGAGAUUGAUAGGACGUUCUGAAUUUAAUGGAACGUGGCAUAUUAACAUUAUCUAUCUUGAGCACAAUCACCGCAAUCCGGAUCGAGGGUCACCGAUGAUUUGGAUGGAGGAAAGAGAGACACACAACAUUGAUAUAUACAUAUAUAAUGGGUUGGAUACCAUAAUGGGUUUGGUUUAGAUGGAAAACAAUAGUAAAAGAGAGAGAGAGAGAAUUUGUUCGACCAUCAGUCCCUUUUUUUCUUAAUUCAGUUAGGUCUUUUCUUCAAAUAAACGGAUAAUUCUAAAUUUACAUCGCCAGUUAUCGAAUGUUCGAUAAUAUGCCCAUGUGGUGGGCACCUAUGCCGCAACUAAAAAAUAUGAGUUGUACCAUUCAUACUAAUGAUUCACAUAAAAGAACUCGUACCUAAGAAGUUUUUGAUUUUCUUGGAACUAGUUUCGAAAUGUCCUUUUCAACGAAGUUUUCUUGGAGCUUCUUUACUUUUGGAGUAAUUGGAUCCAAGGUGAAUCCACUAGCCGACUUUCCUGCUCCAUCAAGGCAUUGAGAUCUCACAUUACUUGACUUCAAGGUCGAUGACUCCAUUGUUUGGAUUUUAAUCCAAUCCAAUCCAUAAUACCCUUCCAUCAUGAUUCAUCAUGUGCUACCAAGUCAACUAAUGUUGUACGAGCAGUGCCCAUUUGUUCAUAUCUAACUUUAUCGAGAGUGCGAAUCCAACCAUUAUAAUGGUUGGAACUCUCGUGUACGGUCUGCUGACAUCUCUCCUCUAACUCUUCAAUAUAUACUUAUCCAAUAGUAUUUGUACCUAAUUUCAAAGCAAUAUUAUGAUUGCGUGUUUGAAAACAAUUCUUCUAAAUUUGAAUAAAUGACAAUUGCACUAAAAUUCACAUUCUUCCCUAUAGAAAGACACUUUAAAUAUUUUUGGGAUCAUACAUUCAUUCAAAAUGACGUCCUCACGCACUUCAUAAAUAGUAUGUAAUUACGAAUCUUUGGCAGAUAAGACUUCAAAAUAUACAUUUUCGAUAAACUAUUCUUGAAACUCUCUAAAUUUCGCGAUUGUGUACGCUAAUGAGAACUGCUUCUCCAUUUUGUGCCUUGUCGCACACGAAACCAUUUGUGAAAAUGAUUUGAUAUCAGCCUGAAACUUAUUAUAAACUUUACUUUUCAAUGCACACUCAUAUUGCUCUACAAGAUGCUCAAGUGAUGUUUUAGAAUGAACACAUAAAAAAUACAUUAAUGCUCUCACUUCGUUGAGUGGUCGACAUGCCGGCCCAAAAUGAGGUUUUCAAAAAAUAUGGUACCCAUCAACUUCUCUCAUUGUAUAGUCUAGUCAACCAACCAUGUUCUAUUAAUUUAUAAUCUUUGAGCAUUCCAGUCCAAUAUUACCCAAACUCCUCACAACCUUGUAUAUUGUAUACCAGCCCAUGCACAUUAGAAAGAAUAGAAGCUUUAGGAUUUCGUUGCUAAAUUUUUCUAGUAACUUCUUCAAAAUACACCACAAGCACCAUCUAUGCUUGGCAUUCGAAAAGACAAUUUCAAUUGCAUUUUGUAUAACUCGAUCUUGAUCUAUAAUAAUUCCAUUUGGAGUUUUAUCAUGCGUACAUUCUAGCCAUGUCCUAAGUGGCCAUAUAGAAGUUCUUGCAUCCUUAUUUGAAAUCAAACCACAUCCAAGUAGAAUUGUUUGUCUAUGGUGAUUUAUCCCAACAAAAGGAGCGAAUGUCAUAUCAUACUUAUUAGUCAAGUAUGUGGUGUCAAAUGUGACCACAUCAUCAAAUUCAUUACACGCUUCUCUACAACUGUUAUUUGCGCAAAACACGUUCUUGAGAUGGCCUCAUCAUCCAAGUUUAUACUGAAAUAGAACUAGGACUGCUUGUUUGCAUCUUCAAGAAGUACGCUUGUAUGACAACAGCGUCUCCUUCAUCAAGUCUUAAUCGACGAACUUUGUCAAUGAAGUUUCUAGUCUUUCUCAACAUUUGUCAUAUUGUCAUAACCACCGGCUUUAACUAUUGCUGAGUUAAAACUCUUGUGCAACGGUAUACUAGCAAUGUCAUUUAUUUCGAACUGUUGUUUCACACGUGCAUUGAUACACCUUUGAUUUUGAUGGGGUUGUUAUGUGAUUGUGCUCAAAAUGGACAGUAUUAAUAAUCCACUUUCUAUUAAGUUUAGAACAUGCUGUCAAUUUUGCUUUACACUUGGUUUGGAUGGUUGGUUGAGGCUUCGACAAGCAUUUGUAUCAUUGGUUCAACGGCCUUCCCGACUGUACGUCAAAGUUAUAUAACAUAAAACCACAUCAUUUUUUCUAGCAAGAAACUCGAUUUGGAAUGCAUAGUUCUUGCAAAAUUCAAAAUAACUCAUUUUAAUCAUUAAACUUUAUUUUAACAUUCGGCACAAUAAUGUCAAUUUCUACCCCUAAGCAUUUACUAUUUGGAUUGUCGUCUUCGGAUCAAAGAAUUUCUAAAUAUCCCGCAUUUAUGAAAAAAAUACCAUAAUCAAUUCUAAUCGCUAAAGAAACUAAAGGAAAAUAGAGCAUCAAAUUUUUACCACUACAAAAGCAUCAAGCCAUAUAAUGUGACUAGAAAACCUAGACAUAUUAUCGCAAAUAUUUACCGGAGAAUAAUUAACUUUGUAUCUAAAUUAUGUAGACCCCAAUCAUAAAGCUUCAUCUGUGGAGUAUCGAUGUUCAUUACUUUCCUUUCCAUUUAAAAGUAAAAAAAAAAUGAUAGAAAAAAAAAUAAAUGCCAUAGAACUGUGAAGACGAAAAUGCACAUCUUCACCAAUCUUUCUUCUAAUAACUAUUUCAACAUUUUCAAUUUAAUAUUUCAAUGUUUCAUAAAACUAUUUUAGAGCACAUUUCAAGCAUAAUAACAUUACAAUAAGAUUUUAAAGUUAAAAAUAAAAUAAAAUUAAGCACAACAACUAUUUCCCUCAAAUGAAAUGAGGUUAAGGAGAUAUUUUUCACGUUGCCAUUAGCGUCAAAGUAUCGUACUUUAAUAUAGUUUACAGCUCUGUCGCUACAGCGUCUAGGAUCAAUUGCACGUGAUGGGGAUAAGAACGCCGAGUUCACCAUCGUGUCAACAAUGAUGUUGACAUUGUCGACAUCGCCGAGUUCUCACAUCCAUAUAUUUCCGUUCCUCAAAUGAGUUUCAAACGAGUUGAAAUGAAUGAGGGCUUAUAUGGCUAGAGAUGACAACUCUUAUUUUUUUUUUUUUUAUGAGGAAAUUACCAAAAUAGUCAACUUUUGGCUUUGUAUUUACAAAAAUGUCAUUUUUUUAAAAUCUUUGCAAAAUUAUCAAUUUUGGAUAUUUUUUCCUCUCUUAAAAAUUCAAAUACAGUACACAUUCUUGAGUUGACAACAUAAAAAGUUGUACAAAAAGUGGAGAAAAUGUGACAAUCAAUCACCUCACAAUUGUACUUCAAAGUCCUUACAAUAUAUAUAUAUAUAUAUAUAUAUAUAUAUAGCAAAAAAAUUUAAUUAUUAACUCAUUCAUUUUUCUCCUUUUCUUUGUGAAAUUUCCCCUUUCUCUUUUCUUCUUUUUUUAUAGUUCCUCUCUUGAUUCUUUGAAAACUAUAUGGAGUGCAAAUUCUUAUAUUGAGAUCCCGUUUAUUACGUCAAUAUAGAAGGAAGAAGAAUAUCUUAGGUAAUGUUUCGAAUAUAUGCAUUUUUUCAAUCAAUUGAAAGUUUUGUUUCAAGUUUUUUACUAUUGUUCCUUUUUUUUUUUUUUUUUUUUUUUUUUUUUUUUUUUUCCCCUUCAAUUUUUUUUUUUAAUAGCAAAAUUGACGAAAGGAUUGAUUAUAUUGCACCAUCAAUUUUGAGUUUUCUACAUCUAGACUAUAAGUUAGAUUGUUCUUUGUUUUGAGUUUGACUUUAUUUGGAGAGUUCAUUUACAGGUAAUUUGGAUUUCUCCAUUUUUUUGGGGUUUAUAUUUUUUUGGGCAUUUUAAUUUUUUCUAAAUUUUUUUGGAUGUUAUGUAUGAUUUUUUUUAUAUUUUUCCAAAUAAAUAUAUCACGUUCUGUCAAUUUUUUACUUCAUAUUUCUUUGAAUUUAUUUGGUUUGUAGAAGCUGAUUGUUGUAUUAUACUUAUCAUUCCAAUCUAUCUUAUUUAUUAUAUUUUUCUAAGUUAGGCACGGGUAUCAAAUCUUCUAAGCGAAUUGUUUAAUUUGUUACAAUUAAAGUGUGUUUAGUUAUGAAUUCUGAACACACAAGAACUUCUCGAAAGAUUAGUUAUGUGACCCAUCUGUCGCGAUAAACUAUCGUUCCCGACAGUUCGUGUCAGUUCGACAGAUGAGUCAUCUUUCGAUAUGAACUGUUUUUUUCGACAAUUAAAUGCAGUAUUUCUCAAACAUUAUAGUUUAUUUUUUGAUUUCUUAUAAGUGUGUUUAGCAUUAACAUCUGAAGAAUUUAUAAUUUUAAAUACACUCAUCUCAUCUCGUAAUAUGCAAACUAUAAAUAUUGAAUUCAUAUCCAUUAGUAUUGUAAUUGUUGUUUUCAAUUAGAUGGAGGAGGCAUUAACUCAUACUCGGAUAAUCAUGUGGGUCAAUUGCCUAGUGGGAACCAAGGGGUGAACGGUAUGUGCAUUAAUUAUGAGAAAUUCAAAAUUUUUAAUACUCUUAUGUUAUUCUGUAAUUUGCAAACUAGAAAUAAUGAACUCAUGUUGAUUAGUGUUGCAAGUGUUGUUUUCAAAUAGAUGGAGGAGUCAUAGAGCUUGAAGUGUCAUGCCUGGACAACGAGAAAGUUCCCUCAACUUGUAGCUCGACGGAUGCGGUCAUCAUACCUAUUGAAAGUAACGAUGUUGUUAACACAAAAAGGCAAUGAUCGACACACAUUCGAUUUCUUGCAGCAUCUACUAGAACUCCAUACAUUAAGGAAAUGAGAAAAAGAAAUAGCGUGACGAAAUUUGUUAAUACUACAUUAGAAUUGAUUUAUGUAUCAAAUGACCUCUUUUUGCUACUCGCCAAGAAUGUGGUUAUAAACAUUAUUUGGUGGUUACAUCCACAUGUGGUAAUACAUUUUAUCAUUUAUCGUUUUUCAUACUUGUUGGAUUGUUCAAUUAGGACGAAAAAAAUGUUGAAUUAUGUAUUAUAGUUUUGUCAUGGAUAAAUAUAGUAACAUCUUUAUCAAAUGUUCUGCAACAGCUUAUCUCCUAUGCAUCUUAUUUAUAGUUACAUUUUCUGCUCACACCCAACUGUCGAGAAUGAUAGGACCCUUCUAUUGGGACCGAUAGUUUAACUGUUAGGAUAUUAUGCAAUGUCUAUAAAUGAUAAUAAAAUGCUAAUAAUAAUUUAAGUUGACAAUGUGUUCGGGAACAUGUCCCUUAUACAUUUUUUUAUAGUCAAAUUUUCUAUUUUGCAACCAUUUUUCGAGAAUGAUAGAAUCCUUUUAUCGGAUGGUAUGCAAUUUUUAUCUAUGUAAUUAUUUUGCUUGUGAACUUAAACAUGACUAAUAUGUGCAAACAGUAAUAAAAUGAUAAUGAUAAUAUAAUUUCAAAAUGUACAACGCUAUCAGGGCAACAUUCAGUAUACAACUUCAACUCAUUUUAGAUAUCAAGCCAAUUUAAAUGAGUUGUGUUAAAUGAGUUGUGUUAGAAUGGGGUUGGAACACAUGGUUCGGUUAUGGUCAAUUCUACCAUAACGAGUGCAUAGGGUAAUACUUGUCGGAACUAAAACGAAAGUGGUUCUGUCCAUUCUCCACUUUUAUUCAUCAUCCACAUAAACAAACUUUUCCCCGUGUGACACAAUGAAUCUCAAAUGAUUACUAGAGAUUGCAAUGGUAAAAACUCUGCACAAUCAAUAUGUAGACUUUUAAUAGCAUGAAAGUGACACUUUUAAAUAUUUAAAUCCAUUCAAUAACAAAAGGUGAAAUAAAUGGUUGAAUCUCAACAGUUAAAUUAUUUAUCCCGACAUUUUCUAAAUGUCAAGUUCGACAAUUAAGAUAUCUAAUAUGACGAUUUCAAAAUGUCGAAUUCGAUAAUUGAACUAUCGAAAUUGUCGAAAACCUUGAAAACAUGUAUUUGGUACCUUGAAAGAAAUUAUUCAAAGCAUUAAUGGUGAUAAUCAAUUCUCAACAGCAACAUCACAACAUCUUCCCAAAAAUAAAUAAAGAAUAACUUAAUAGUUAAUUAAUUAUAGAAUCCUUAAUAUUUUAUAAAGGAUGUUAAUAUCUUUUUUCUUUAAAAAUAUAUCAAGAAUCAAACGAAUCAAUGAAUAAGAGUUUCAAAAAUUUCAAAUAAAUAUGACUAUAUUCUAUUUAAUAUUUAAAAAAUAGUAAGUUAUAAGAUGAAAAUAUAAAUAAUUUCUAAUAGCUAACUUUUAAAAAUAUAUGAUGAAUCUAAUAUCUUUUUGAUGAUGAAAUGAAGAAGAUGGAUAAGAACUUAGGGUUUGUGAAUGGUAAGAAGUUAUGCGUGUUUUUUUUACCAAAAUUCAUACUAUCCAAUAUAAUAAUCAUAUCUUUAAUAAUUACAAUAUAAAAAAAAAUCAUCACAUCACAACAUUAAUGACUUUCAAAUCAAGCAUUAAAUGAUCCUAAAAUGGUCACUAAGGGUAAUAUGGACUUUUUACAUCAAAAAAGUGACAUUUUUGACCAAAUUUAUUGCAAAUGAAUUUUAUUUUACUUAUUUAUAUUUUUUUUGACGUAUUUUCAAAUUCAGUGGCAGUUAUGAAAAUUCCCUUUUAUUUAUUUGAUAUAUGAGAGAUUGGCUUUUUAAAAGUCUAGCCACGUCAGCACAUCUUAAAAAAAUAGCACAACGCAUAAUCUUGUAUCGUUUAAGCAGAAUUCAUCUAGCCAAUACGUUGAACUGCUAUUUUUUAUUGAUUUCUAGAGGGGUUCUUCCAGAUACAGGGUCCACAAAGGGCACUUUUAGCCCUUUUCACACACCUUUGAUCUUUUUCCAUUCAAGAAUCGUGGAAAAUCUUCUCAUGUUCUUCCAUUUCAUGAAUUUCUGGAUUUCUUACCGUCCGAUUCCACCAUUGGAUCGAUUUCUUUUGUUGAGAAGUACUGAUAGCUGAGGCCCCCCCCCCCCCCCCCCCCCCCAGGGUUUUUUUUUUGGGGUUUNNNNNNNNNNNNNNNNNNNNNNNNNNNNNNNNNNNNNNNNNNNNNNNNNNNNNNNNNNNNNNNNNNNNNNNNNNNNNNNNNNNNNNNNNNNNNNNNNNNNNNNNNNNNNNNNNNNNNNNNNNNNNNNNNNNNNNNNNNNNNNNNNNNNNCCACCACAAGGUUCUGAUUUGUAGGGUUUGGAGAAUUCGGUUGAUUUCGAUAGAAAAAGUAUCAAUUUUGUGCGUGGAUUCGGGGGAUGCUGCUUUAUUAUGAGUGGAUUUCAUGUGUUUAUUCAAAUUUUCCGAGUAUUCUGUAUUUCGAUUAUCUCUUACCAGGGUUAAUUCAAGUUUCAAUUGAAAAAUUGGAUCUGGGUGCUUGAGUUCGUUCAACUUAUUGAACUUUUUGCCAAGUGGAUUUGUUUAUAUAAAUUUGCUGAAAGUUUUCUUGUGGUGUGCAAAUAUUAAGAUUUGAUUUUGAUGUUGGGGCAUGGGAUUUUCAUGUGAAUUUGAUAAAAGUGAUGAAGGUGUAGAAAAAUUAGGGUCUUAACUAUUGGGAAUCAUAGAAAAGGAGGCCUUCAUUGAAUAGGCUUAAAAAUGAAAAGAGGGAAAGAUGAGGACAAAAUUAUGGUGCCAAUGUUUCCAAGGCUUCAUGUGAAUGAUACUGAUACGGGAGGGCCAAGAGCACCUCCAAGAAACAAGAUGGCCCUUUAUGAGCAGCUCAGCAUCCCUUCACAGAGAUUCGGCCAUGGGGUGUUGCCCUUCAACCCUACCUACACUUCUAACCUAGAGCCUUCUGCUUCUUCAAGUCAGGUGAGUGGAGAAUUCUGAUUUUUCGCUUAUAUUUUCGUAUCCUUGGUUUUCUUAAUUUGCUGUGAUACACAGACACACACAUCUCUAAACCUGCACAAGUAACACCAUAAGCUUGCAAAGGUAGCCGUUCAAGGUGGUCCAGUGACCAGUCGCCAUUUGCACUCCAGACGGCCAAGUUAGAAAAUAUAAUUUGAGUGCAAGAGAAACAAAAUGGACUGAGAUUUGGCUAGGGUUUUGAUUUUCAUACAUUUUCCUUUAUGUUGCAUGGGGAAUGUAUAAAUGAAAAAUUAGGUCAAGGCACUUUAGACCUUUUGUAUCUCCUGGACACGAGUUGUUCUCAAACUAGAGAGGAUUUUGAGUCUAGUACCUUACAUCCUCAUGUUACUUUUGCCAGUUUCUUUCUGAUUGUCAAGGUUAUUAUUAAUCAACCAAUUCUUGUUUCAAACUUUUUAAUGGUUUUAGCUUAUGUGGCAGUGAUCCUUCCACCAUGUUGCAAUAGGAUAUUCUACAAUCCUUUAUUUGAGACAAUUCUGAAGUCACAUGUUUUGUUCUUUGCUAGCUUUCUUUUAGAUUUCUACAAGGCAACCUGGUUCGCCAUUGUCAUGUUUCUAGGGCGAUGGUAAGGCUUGCUUUGUUUCACCUGGCUGGGAGGUCCGCUGGGGAAUGAAACCCUUUCAGAUAGCCUUUUCUCCUUUGGUGAGCUUGGUAGUAGCCUCGAUUCAAAGUGAUUGGUUCAUAGAACCAUGUGGGUUACCCCUUGUCGACGUGGGUGUAAGUGAUAUCUGGCCCUUGAUUCUAAUGUGGCUCACACUUGGGAUGAGGUAGUAACAAAUGGUUAAGAAAAUAUUUUAUUGGUGGAUUGAUUUUGUCAGUCUCCUUUUAGGCAUUAGGUUUAGCCUUUAUGUUGUAUUCUUGAAAGGUUGAUUUUUUCUUCUCUUUUCUGUCUUUUUUCUUUUUUGCUUUUUUUUAACUCUUAAUUCAAGUUUAAGUCAUGACAGAGAAAGAUAUCCUUGAAAGUUGAAACUUCGUACACAUAAUAUUGUACUAAAAAAGCAUGAAUUUAUUGGGGUUUUAAUUAUUGUUGAUUGAAGACAGAAGGAAAGAAGAAAGACAGAACAAGAAACCCUUUAAAAGUACAGUUAAUGUGACAUGGCAUGCACCUCUAUGCCUGGCUUCCUUUGCUGGCUUUAUAAAUUGAAUUAUAAUUGUGAUUGCUGCUAAGUAGUUGUGCAUUCAGGGGACCGGGAAGGAAAGGAGUAAGUUUUUCUCACGUCAGCUGCCUCCUAGACAUCAAGCUGAAAAGUCACACAGCCAAUAUUCAAAUUUGAGUACCGUGUUAACACAAGUUCAGCAGAAAAAGAAGUUAGAUGAAGAUGAUUUUACAGUUCCCAUCUUCACUGAAUCCCAUCCAAAUCAAGAUCAUGAUAAAUAUUUUAGUAAUUUGGAUGCAAAAGAAUUCCCUCCCUCCAACUGUGACGAUACCAAUCACACAUUGAAAUUUCCAAAAGUUGCUGAUAACGAUCUAAAACAGACUAGCAUGGCUGUAGGAAGUAGCAAUCGAGGAGGAAAAUGCCUCAAAGAAGUGAAUACGAGAGAUUUUGUGGCUGCUCAGGAGCAGAUGGAUAAAGCCCUCUUAAAUUUAUCAUCAAUAAAUAAAACUGAAGGUCAGAGGAAACAAAUUGAUGGGUCUCAGUCUGAUGAACCAAGAGAUAAUCCAGCUAAUAGUAUCGUCAGAUUACAAAAGGUUGAUAAUAAUAUAAUUCCAGAGUUGUUUGCCAAGUCACAACCUGCAGGCUUUGUCCACAGUAAUGAUGUUAUGAGGGAGUCUAGUUUCAGCAUAAAUAAUAGACAUUCUUCUUCGUUCAGGGAUUUCCUGUUAGAAGAGCAAAAUAUUAUUCAUGAUCUGAGUGAUAUGACUUCACAUGAAAAAAGUUCAUGUAGCUCGCCACAAACGGAAAAUAUUGACAUGGGCGACAGUGUGUCUGAGACUUCUAUGGUGGAUUCUUUAUCUGGACUGGAUAUAUCUCCUGAUGAUGUCGUAGGAAAAAUAGGCCAGAAACAUUUCUGGAAUGCCAGGCGAGCUAUUACCAAGUAAGUUCUUCCCUUUAACGUAUGUCUAAAAUUGUGCCUUUUGGAGGAUUUGAAUUGAAGAAAUAUUAAUUCCAAAGAUUGUGACAUUUUCUAAUACUUCCCUUCCAUGUAAAUGAUUAUCAAUUAGGUGGCUUGUUAGAAUUGUACAAGACAAUGUUUAGGUAAGAGAUUAUUCAAAAAUUGAGAAUAAUUUGUGUAUCCGCAAUGAUAAGUAACUUUUCUUCCAUUAGCUGGUCUUAAAGUUUCCUGGUGGUGGUAAUUAUAAUCUAGUGAAAUAUACAAAAUGUUCAGCUACUUAAAUAGUGCCAUAAAGAACAAAGAUCUGAAAUUUUAAAUCCCUGACAGAGUGAAGACAAGAAAAAUUAAAAUGUCAGGUAGAAGAAAAGGCUUAAAUAGCACUUGGGAUCCUGAACCUUUAAAACGUUUGUGACCAACAACCUUUUUACAUGAAAAUCAUCAUUUUGACCUUUACAAGGUCAAUUUCUUAUUAAAAUCACUAUCCUGCCCUUAAUUUAGUAACUUAAAAAAAUAAAGAAAAAGAAGAAACAAAAUCUAAUUUCGAAGAGAACACCAAACCAAUAUGACAAUUCCUCCACCCCGUUAGCGGCGAUGAGACUUAUCCACUCUCCACCAGCUAAACCUGCCCAAACCCAUCACCUGCCGCACACCGGCUAUGAAGCCAACCACCCACACACUCGCACACUCCGUCCUGGUCUGCAUCACUGCUGUCCACAUCCGAAAUACAAAUCUUCUAUUUCCGUUGAUUUCCUGAACUGGGGAAUGAACACGUGAA